CCAAGUUCUGGCCUUUGCAUCCCUCUGAUGGUAGUUUCUAAAUAGAAUGAACUUUCCAAGUGACUAUAUUCUGACAUGACUUAUUAUACAAGGCUCAUAACCAGUAUAUAAAUGAAAAACACAGAAUUCCUAUUUCUUUCUCAGCUAUGCCACAGUGCUCAAGCAUGAGACUACUGAGCUCCAGUUACGCUGCGGGAAAAGGAUGCAAAUAUGACAUCUUCUACCUGUGUCCUCAAUGAUGGAGGGGAGAACUCUGACCUCUUCAGCCCUAUAUAAGGUACUAAUCUCAUGCAUGAAAGCUCUACCUUCAUGACCUAAUCACUUCCCAAACGACCUACUUCCCGAUACCCUAAAACUGGGGAUUCGAUUUUAACAUAUGAAUUCUGGGGGGACACAAGCAUUUGGUCUAUAGCAGUCACACCUCCAGCAAAUGGCAGGGUCACACAGAUCUUGGACAAGAUAUCAUCCUGCCUUCCAGAACAAAUAUCCAAACGUUUCUCCUGAGGCACAACCACAUUGGAACAUCAAUGAAAACUUUGGAUGAGCCAAGUCACAUUAACUACUUCUCCUCUAUAGAAAACACAUUUCUCUAUUAGAUUUAACUUGAAGAGAGAUAACAGUUGCAAUGUUAAGUUGAAAUUUUGAUUCAGGGGUCUCAGAUUUCUAUAAUUUAAACUAAUGAACUAUCUAGGUGCCUUAGCAAUAGAGCAGAAGAAAGCAAGAAGUAGAAAUGAAUAAGACAAAACAAUAUAUUUGCAAGUGAUUGGCUUUGUUAGACUUUGAUUGUGACUGAUAAUUUGAAUUUCAUUUUUAAUGUUGAUGUAUAGCCCGUUUAUCACAAAUCAUUGUAGAUAGUUACAUACAAUGAAUUUUUUUUUUUCAUUUGGGUAAAAUCUAUCUUGUUGCUAUGGUGAUAGCUAUUAUAAAAUGAGUAAGAUAAAAUUAAGACCACUACAUUCCCAGAGUAAAAUCAAUCAGGUGAUACUGGAAAAGUCGGCAUUUGUCAUUUUGUAUAUUAUUAGCUCUGAAAUAAAAUUGUGUUUUCUCUAAAAAG
RNAcentral lists this long non-coding RNA (1054 nucleotides) under Homo sapiens (human). RNAcentral's name for it is "HSALNT0249540". The record is from RNAcentral. Lineage: Eukaryota; Metazoa; Chordata; Mammalia; Primates; Hominidae.